Molecule: long non-coding RNA, 2221 nt
Organism: Dreissena polymorpha
Lineage: Eukaryota; Metazoa; Mollusca; Bivalvia; Myida; Dreissenidae
Exons: 3
Source: RefSeq, a predicted model, not a curated record
UUACCUCACAAUAUUGAUAAGUUUGACGCAGUGCGAUGUAUUUUAAGAAGGCGAAAUUACAAACCGGAAGUGAAAUAAAACGCUGCUUCUAUGAAAUCGUUUCGAUCAUUGAUAUCAAAGUUGGAACUCGUAUUUCGGUCAGAUAAUAUUUAGACAUAAACAGACAAACUGUAGGCGUAUACUUGUACUCAAUUACAUUUGAGGUGAAGUAUUAAGUUGUUUAAACAGCAUGGGUGAUUGUGUAGUUGCUUGUUUAGUUUUGGCUUUCUUGCUAAGCCCACUUUUCCUGCAAGGUAAAGGCACGUUCGGUUCUGACUGGAUUGAGUGCACUUGAAUGAAACUGGCAGCUCUCAACGGUACAGCAUAUUUCUUAGAAGUCAUCUCCUUCAUAAUUCUGCUUUUGCCAGUAAUAUUUGGGGCAUUUGAGGCGUGAAUAAACAGCAACGCAUCGUCUUCAGAAGUAACCUGUUGCGGUAUUUGCAGUGGCAUCUUGUUUCUCCUGUACCCAGGAAGUCUGUUCAGUAUGGCUGGAUACAUACUGAUAUAAGUUAAGUUCUCAAAAUCUAUUCUUGGAGCGUCCAUCGACAACUGUCUCGCCUCAAGCCUGUACAUUCUAAUUGUUACAAUUAUAAUUGUGGCUAUCAUAUGCUCGAGCCGAGACAAAAAAACAAGCAACACAAAUAUGAAGCAAAUGACGCUCGAAACGCAAGCUGCAACCGCAUCUCGGAUUGAGCCAGUGCCGAUUGAGAUUCAAAUUGAGGAACGGACAACAUCACUUGAGGAACAAUCCGAAGGCGGUUGGCGACUUGUCACGCAGCUUAACAUCUUUCAUUAAAUCAUCCCUAAAAGACAAGAUUGAAAUCGAAAUGUUUUCAAGUUGUUAAGAGAGACCAAUUUAGAACGUGAUUUAAUGUUAGUGUUAAUUAUUGAUCCAAAAUGUAUAUACCUGACUUACAUGGAUCAUCGAAUUUCCUGCUGAAGCUAUUUUCUAUUAUUAGAACAAAAUAAAUGCGCUUGUUCAAAUAUAUCAUACAGUUUUAUGUUCAGUUUAUACAGUUAUUUGUUGACAACAAUACUUUUAAUCACACACAGUUCUCCGAUAAAAUUCAGUGUCAGUCUGUCAUGCACUGGUUGCUUUAAAAAUAAGGAUAUAAUCGUCGUUCUGACAGAAAGACGUAAGACUUGUUGUCUGUAAAGCUUUUUGACUUGUUUGAAUAAAAUGAAUAAGUAAGUAUAAAUAGUAAAAAUGUUUGUGCACGCCUGAAAUAUGAAUAAAAGGCAAAAAAACACGCAAAUAGAUAAAGAGGCAACUUAUCCAUCCAUUGGCACUCUAUUUGCAACGAAUCAACAUGAACAUAUGACUGGGUAAAGUUGAACUAACCAAAGUUUAGAUCUCUCCACCAUGAGUGUGUAAUUGUAUUCUUUUAGGCAUAGUCCAUAUUCCAAGACUGCAUAGUUCGUUUAGUUUAAAUGGGCGUUUAAGGUCCUAUGCAGUGGUCGAGAGGGAAUGUAAAUGUAAAAGUCUACAAACGAUUUGUGCAUAUUUUAUUACAAACCAUCGUGUCUGUACAUUAACAAUAAAAUACUAGAGCAAUAGCUGAUAUGGAGUUUCGUUUCGUUAAAGCUUUAAACCUGGGCGUGUACGUAUUCGUACCGAAAUAAAAAAAGAAAACCACUUUUAGUCUUAAGAUUUAAAUUGUCUUUGAAAGACUUGCAUGUUAAGCAAGGUUUAUUUGACUAUAUCAACGGUUAAAUAUUAACACAAACCAAAGUGUCAUAUAAACGGCGUUUCAUACAACUCAUGAAAACUUAUUAAUUUUGUUUCAUUCGUGAUUUCUUUAUGGAGCUUCAAAUAUACGCAAAUCUUACAGGACAACCGACAAAGCAGGCUUUAACUUCAAGCAUAUGGCCUUAUCUGAACCCCAUCUCACACAUUACAGAUUGUAUGUGUGAACUAUUUGCCAUAAAACCAGGUCAACAACUAGAUAGCCAUUUUAACAAGAGCUAUUUCGGAAAUUUUUCUUUUUACACAAGUUUUAUGAGAAAUAUGAUGUAAAACAAUAAACAAUUUCGGUACUCUGUUUGAAUCGACCGGAUGCUAUUACUCAUAAAAAUCCAACAUUAGUAUUUAUUUGUUUGCUACAUGAUUCUGUCUAUAUCUUUGUGAUGAAAGUGUGCUGUAAAAACGUAACAUUCAUAAUAAUGAGUCAAGUCGGUAACU